GUUGGAAACAGCCAUGAAACUGAUUCCACCACUUCUGUGCAGGCUGACAACAACCCUUCUGAACAACAGGUGGAUGUUGGAAACAGCAAUGGAACUGAUCUCACCAAUUCUGUACAGUGUGUGACCAACCCUACUCCUGUGUAUAUAGUUGUGGUGUAUGGAGACCAAACUUAUAC
Scomber scombrus (Atlantic mackerel) is the source of this 176-nucleotide long non-coding RNA. RefSeq lists it as uncharacterized. The transcript is spliced from 3 exons. NCBI's taxonomy places the organism in Eukaryota, Metazoa, Chordata, Actinopteri, Scombriformes, Scombridae. The record is from RefSeq and is a predicted model, not a curated record.